GACGAACGCUGGCGGCGUGCUUAACACAUGCAAGUCGAACGGAAAGGCCCUGCUUUUGUGGGGUGCUCGAGUGGCGAACGGGUGAGUAACACGUGAGUAACCUGCCCUUGACUUUGGGAUAACUUCAGGAAACUGGGGCUAAUACCGGAUAGGAGCUCCUGCUGCAUGGUGGGGGUUGGAAAGUUUCGGCGGUUGGGGAUGGACUCGCGGCUUAUCAGCUUGUUGGUGGGGUAGGGGCUUACCAAGGCUUUGACGGGUAGCCGGCCUGAGAGGGUGACCGGCCACAUUGGGACUGCGGUACGGCCCAGACUCCUACGGGAGGCAGCAGUGGGGAAUAUUGCCCAAUGGGCGGAAGCCUGAUGCAGCAACGCCGCGUGCGGGAUGACGGCCUUCGGGUUGUAAACCGCUUUCGCCUGUGACGAAGCGUGAGUGACGGUAAUGGGUAAAGAAGCACCGGCUAACUACGUG
This 468-nucleotide ribosomal RNA is filed under the name uncultured bacterium. RNAcentral describes it as "partial 16S ribosomal RNA". It matches the Rfam family "Bacterial small subunit ribosomal RNA", at positions 28 to 507 of the family's 1533-position model. The record is from RNAcentral.